This 69-nucleotide transfer RNA is filed under the name Sphaerodactylus townsendi. Its description in RNAcentral is "tRNA-Ala". It matches the Rfam family "tRNA". Rfam says of the family: Transfer RNA (tRNA) molecules are approximately 80 nucleotides in length. The record is from RNAcentral. Lineage: Eukaryota; Metazoa; Chordata; Lepidosauria; Squamata; Sphaerodactylidae.
GGCCAUGCUCAGUAGUAGAGUAUGUGCUUGGCAUGCAAAAGGUCCCAGGUUCAAUCCCUGGCAUCUCCA